This 76-nucleotide transfer RNA is filed under the name Bacillaceae bacterium JMAK1. Its description in RNAcentral is "tRNA-Phe". It matches the Rfam family "tRNA". From Rfam's summary of the family: Transfer RNA (tRNA) molecules are approximately 80 nucleotides in length. Lineage: Bacteria; Bacillati; Bacillota; Bacilli; Caryophanales; Bacillaceae. The record is from RNAcentral. RNAcentral also lists the same sequence under 1 other name.
GGCUCGAUAGCUCAGUUGGUAGAGCAGUAGACUGAAAAUCUACGUGUCGGCGGUUCGAUUCCGUCUCGAGCCACCA